CCCUUAGAUGUUCUGGGCCGCACGCGUGCUACACUGAGUGGAUCAGCGGGUCAGGUUGCGCGAAAGUGUUUCCAAUCUUUAAAUCCGCUCGUGAUGGGGAUUGACGGUUGCAAUUUUCCGUCAUGAACGAGGAAUACCUUGUAAGCGCGGGUCAUCAUCCUGCGCUGAAUACGUCCCUGCCCUUUGUACACACCGCCCGUCGCUCCUACCGAUUGAGUGGUCCGGUGAGGCUUUGGGAUCUGAGCGGAAAGAGCGUUUCGCUGUUUCUGCCCGGAAAACUCAGUCGAACCUUAUCAUUUAGAGGAAGGAGAAGUCGUAACA
Molecule: ribosomal RNA, 321 nt
Filed under: uncultured eukaryote
Lineage: Eukaryota
Description: partial 18S ribosomal RNA
Rfam family: Eukaryotic small subunit ribosomal RNA
Source: RNAcentral